Long non-coding RNA from Manis pentadactyla (Chinese pangolin), 448 nucleotides. RefSeq lists it as uncharacterized. NCBI's taxonomy places the organism in Eukaryota, Metazoa, Chordata, Mammalia, Pholidota, Manidae. The record is from RefSeq and is a predicted model, not a curated record. The transcript is spliced from 3 exons.
AUGGCACUAACAUUUGUUGAUCACCUGCAGGGUGCCAGGCAUAUACAUCGUCUUGUGUAAUCCACACAGCAAUGCUUAUGGAGCAUAAAAAGAAGAAGCAUUCCUGGUGGAGAAUAUGCAAAGGGAGGGAGACACCAUCAGGAAGCUACAAAUAGUUCUCUGUGAUGGAAUGUUAGAUACCAGGGGGAGAUGGUAAGAGAGUCUCUCAUUACUCCCUGGUUGGCUUUGAAGAAGUGAGCUGCCAUCCUAUGUUGGAAGGCCCAUAUAGCAAGGAGUUUCAGGCAACUCUGGUAGCUGAGGGCAGCCUCUGACUGCAGCUAGCAAGAAAGAGAAGCUCUCAGUCUUACAGCUACAAGAACUGAAUUCUGUUUACAACUUGAGUGAGUGUGGAAACAGAUCUUCCCCAGUCAAGCCUCAGAUGAGACCAUAGCCCUUUGCUACCUCUUUG